RNA transcript from Carica papaya (papaya), 3836 nucleotides. It is a transcript of the gene named integrator complex subunit, with no coding region annotated. Lineage: Eukaryota; Viridiplantae; Streptophyta; Magnoliopsida; Brassicales; Caricaceae. The record is from RefSeq and is a predicted model, not a curated record.
AGAUUUCAGCAAAAAAAUCUAACUAUAAUAAGGUCAAGUUCCAGUCGAUACUGUUAAUUUUUAUCGUUCUUCAUACCAAAGUAGGUCCUUGGUGAUGGUCUGACGAAUUUCGGCGAUGAAUCUUCGCUGCUUAACAACGAAAGGCUGAAUAUCUCAAGGUUGGAUUACUGGUAAUGUUGGAGAUGAAGAUGGUGGCUUUUUAUUUUAGAAGAAAAGUGAAGGAUAAAGUUCUCACGUUUGCUUAAUGUAUCCCUAAAUUAGGCUCCGUAUCCUCUUGUUUAAUUAAAGACACAGUUACAAGAUUUAGAGCAAUUACAGUUUCAUGGAAUAAUUAUCCCAUGAACCAAAUGAGGUAAUGAAUAUUACCACAUCAGUAAUAGCCAUUACAAUAAGGAUAUAUUCAGAUAUUUUCUGCCAACCAAAUAGGCUGUUAAUUACCUAGGUUUAUCCCAGUACGCGUGUCCUUGUUAGCAGAAGUGGGUGAUAGAGUUUAUAGAUGUUCGAAAAAGGAGCCUGCAGAUUGUAGUGGACUCGACUUGUAGGUUUGUUCGUGUAUUCACAGAAUCCAACUUCGACAGUACACAAGGUGUUUGAUGGUUUGCCUUGAUGUGUUGAAAGGACUUGCUUUUGGUUCAAUACUCCUACUUCAUCUGCCAAUAUACGAUUCAUCUCCUAUGCGUUCUUCUUUAACUUAAAAAUUCUGCUGCUAUAUGCCUCGGCAACUAUGGGGUUUUCAUCAGAUGAUGUGAGCUAAAUAGCCACUUCAGUUAUUAAAUUUAUGUUGGCCCUUGAUAUAUAUAUAUAUAUUGUUCAACUGCUGGAAAGAUAGUUAACACCUUAUCUUUUUAUCGUUCAGCUCCAUGAAGCUUACGUGCCUUAGCAAAGGUGGCAGCUUUCAGUUCCCACCAUGUCAUAUGGUUAAUAUAUGUGGAUUUAGGAUCUUGCUUGAUUGCCCAGUGGAUCUUUCAGCUCUAACGAUCUUCUCUCCUGUCCCUACUUGUUUUGACUCUCCUGCUGACAAAGGAACUUCUGAUUGUCCUAUAUAUACAUCAUUGGAUACUGAAGCUGUAUCUCAGAAAAGGGAGAAAAUUGAAAAUCCACUUGAUGCAAGUAAUUUAAUACAGGCAGAACCCUGGUUCAAAACUGUAAAGAGUUUGCACUUGUGGGAUGUUUCCUUCAUUGAUAUUGUGUUAAUCUCAAGUCCAAUGGGAAUGCUCGGGUUGCCCUUUCUCACUAAAAACAAAGGCUUUUCUGCCAAGAUCUAUGUGACUGAAGCAACAGCAAAAAUUGCACAGCUUAUGAUGGAAGAUCUCAUUUCAAUGCACAUGGAAUAUAGACAGUUAUAUGGAAAUGAGGAAUCUGGUUACCCUCAGUGGAUGAAUUGGGAAGAACUUGAGAGACUUCCAUCUGCAAUUAGGGAGAUAGCUCUUGGCAAUGACAUCGAGGAUCUGGGCUGUUGGAUGCCCUUAUACAGUGUUGAUGAUGUGCAGAGUUGCUUGAGGAAAGUACAAACACUUAAAUAUGCUGAAGAAGCUUGCUAUAAUGGGAUAUUGAUCAUAAAGGCAUUCAGCUCUGGUUUAGAAGUCGGCUCAUGCAAUUGGACAAUAAAUAGCCCAAAAAGAAAUAUCACUUGUAUAUCAGGCUCCAUCUUUGUUUCUCCUCAUGCAAUGGAUUUUGACUUUCAUGCUCUUCGUGGGAAUGAUCUGAUCCUAUAUUCAGAUUUCUCUCCCCUUUACACCAGUGAAGAUCUUGAGUGUGGUAGCAAUUGCUCUAUUGCAAUUACAAACAAUUUUUCAACUCUGAGUGGUGAUAACAAUUGGGAAGAAUUGGCUGCAUCUUUACUUGACCAAAAUGAGAGUUUGGAGGAAAUGGAGAAGCUAGCUUUUAUAUGCUCUUGUGCUAUAGAUUCCAUUAAAGCUGGUGGUUCUGUUCUUGUAACCAUUAGUCGGCUUGGUAUUACUCUGCAGCUCUUGGAGAUGAUGGCUGUUUUCCUGGAGUCUUCGUCUCUAAAUGUUCCCAUAUAUGUUAUUUCUUCUGUGGCAGAAGAGUUAUUGGCUUAUGCUAACUCGAUACCAGAGUGGCUAUGCAAGCAGCGGCAAGAGAAGCUGUUUUCUGGUGAGGCAUUGUUUGCACAUGUUGAACUCAUAAGAGGGAAGAGGGUUCAUUUGUUUCCUACAAUUCAUUCACCUACAUUACUGAAAAAUUGGCAAGAAUCCUGUAUCAUCUUUUCUCCUCAUUGGAGUUUGCGGCUUGGUCCUUCUGUUCAUUUGCUUCGUCAUUGGUGCCAAGAUCCCAGAUCAUUACUUGUUCUUGAGAAUGGAGUAGAUGCUAGUUUAGCUCUCUUGCCUUUCAAACCAAUGGCAAUGAAAGUUCUUCAAUGUUCAUUUCUCUCUGGAAUAAGGUUGCAAAAAGUCGAACCUUUGCUCAGGUUGCUGCAACCAAAGUUAGUUCUUUUCCCUGAUAAUUUUAGGCAGCUGAUCAGUUUGUCAGAUCUAAAUUCAAACUCAGUUUCACAUUAUACUGAAAAUGAAAUGUUACGUGUACCAAGCUUCAAAGAUUGUUCAGAAGUAGAGAUUGCAAUUGAUUUGGCCUCAGAAAUGCGCUGGAAAGAAAUAAAAAAGAAGUCCAUUAAUGCCACAAGGUUGAAGGGAGAGCUCCUAAUGCAUGAAGGACAAUGUAAAUUAUUCUCUGGGCUUGAGCCAACAAAGUCCAGGCAGUUAUGGCCACUAGUGCUUUGGGGUUCACCAAACUUGGAAAGACUUCAGGCUGUAUUAUUGAAGAUGGGCAUUAGUGGAACGGUAGAACAAGUCAUGGGUGAUGAUGAAUCCAAAAAUUCUGGUAUCAUAUGUGUCCACAGUCCUAACCAGGCCUUAAUAGAAGUUCAGGCAACAUCUACUUUAAUCAAUGCUGCUAAUGAGAAUCUUGCCUCUCGUAUUUUUGAGGCCAUUUCUAGUAUCUUGGAUGGCAUUUGAAAGGAAAGGGAUCGGUGGUUUUUCUUUAACCAUCUUAGGCUGCUUGGAGAGGUACAUUUAAAAUUGCUUUGCACCUGAAGUAAGAUUCUCCUUCAGUCAUGAAAGUCCUAAUGAGUUUCUUCCUGCAAUACCCAUUGUACAUGUACUGACAAGAUGCUGGCAAAUCAGUUGAAAUUUGUUCUUUCCAGUCUAUGAUUAUAAUCAAUAUGCUUAUCAGGCCAGUUAAAGAAUCUCUGAAAUAGUGCUGGUCCAUGAGUUUUUUAGCAACUAUAGCAGGGAAAGCACCUCUUCUUUGAGCCUAUUGAAAUUGAUCAAUGUGAAGGGUCUGGAAAUGAUUGCUUGAAAGCUUUUUUCUAAAGGAAGGAGGGAGAGAAGGAGGGUCUAAGCCACAGAGAUCCUCCUCUAUUAAUGAUGUGCAGAUGAAGAUUUACAGAAGGUGUUUCAGAAGAGCAGAUUGCUUCAGAGUCUAUUCAGCUGGCAUGAUUACUGGAAUUCAUAUGUAGAUGCAGAAGAUUGCUUGGUUCUUUUGGAGAAGACCAGCUAUGUGUGUUAUUGAUGGGUUAAAAGCUUAUCAUUUCUAGAUGCAGUUUUUGUGGGAAAUAGAAGCGAUUGCUGCUUGAACCAAACUGCACUGCAUGGGGUUCUUGAUCCAAUACAACAUCUUGUCACCAAGAGAGUUGGAAAUGGUUUGCAUUCAGAGACCUUCUAUACCAACGAGCUCCUUUCAACUGCUUGAGUUGGGGAGUGUUUUGAAGAAUGCCUGUAAAUAUUUUUCUGGUUUCUGCAGUGGACUAUAAGAAAGAACAGAUGGUUGCUCAAGAUUUUAUGAAGCAGUGGUGCAUAAUAUAGUAUUUAUUGCUUGGA